CCUACGGGGGGCUGCAGUGGGGAAUAUUGGACAAUGGGCGAAAGCCUGAUCCAGCCAUGCCGCGUGAAUGAUGAAGGCCUUAGGGUUGUAAAGUUCUUUUGUCAGGGAAGAUGAUGACGGUACCUGAAGAAUAAGCACCGGCUAACUUCGUGCCAGCAGCCGCGGUAAUACGAAGGGUGCUAGCGUUGUUCGGAAUCACUGGGCGUAAAGCGCGCGUAGGUGGCUUUGCAAGUCAGAGGUGAAAUCCCCAGGCUCAACCUGGGAACUGCCUUUGA
This 275-nucleotide ribosomal RNA is filed under the name uncultured bacterium. RNAcentral describes it as "partial 16S ribosomal RNA". It matches the Rfam family "Bacterial small subunit ribosomal RNA", at positions 338 to 630 of the family's 1533-position model. The record is from RNAcentral.